This 21-nucleotide non-coding RNA is filed under the name Caenorhabditis elegans. The record is from RNAcentral. Lineage: Eukaryota; Metazoa; Nematoda; Chromadorea; Rhabditida; Rhabditidae.
UCCCAUUAAAGCUUGUUGAGC